UACGGAGGGUGCGAGCGUUUAUCCGGAUUCACUGGGUUUAAAGGGUGCGUAGGUGGGAAUGUAAGUCAGUGGUGAAAUCUCUGAGCUUAACUCAGAAACUGCCAUUUGAUACUAUGUUUCUUGAAUUUUCUGGAGGUCAGCGGAAUAUGUCAUGUAGCGGUGAAAUGCUUAGAUAUGACAUAGAACACCAAUUGCGAAGGCAGCUGGCUACAGGGAUAUUGACACUGAGGCACGAAAGCGUGGGGAUCAAAACAGG
This 256-nucleotide ribosomal RNA is filed under the name uncultured bacterium. RNAcentral's name for it is "partial 16S ribosomal RNA". It matches the Rfam family "Bacterial small subunit ribosomal RNA", at positions 524 to 776 of the family's 1533-position model. The record is from RNAcentral.